This 382-nucleotide ribosomal RNA is filed under the name Cutibacterium modestum. RNAcentral's name for it is "bacterial SSU rRNA". It matches the Rfam family "Bacterial small subunit ribosomal RNA", at positions 28 to 408 of the family's 1533-position model. Lineage: Bacteria; Bacillati; Actinomycetota; Actinomycetes; Propionibacteriales; Propionibacteriaceae. The record is from RNAcentral.
GACGAACGCUGGCGGCGUGCUUAACACAUGCAAGUCGAACGGAAAGGCCUCUUUCGGGGGGUACUCGAGUGGCGAACGGGUGAGUAACACGUGAGUAACCUGCCCUUGACUUUGGGAUAACUUCAGGAAACUGGGGCUAAUACCGGAUAGGAGCUCCUGCUGCAUGGUGGGGGUUGGAAAGUUUCGGCGGUUGGGGAUGGACUCGCGGCUUAUCAGCUUGUUGGUGGGGUAGUGGCUUACCAAGGCUUUGACGGGUAGCCGGCCUGAGAGGGUGACCGGCCACAUUGGGACUGAGAUACGGCCCAGACUCCUACGGGAGGCAGCAGUGGGGAAUAUUGCACAAUGGGUGGAAGCCUGAUGCAGCAAACGCCCGUGUGCGGGA